CUUAAUUUGAUCAUUUUCCUCUUUCCUUUGGUAAUCUCCUUCCUGUAUUACAAGAUAUAUAAUGCUUCCUUCACACUUCAAAUGAAAGUUGAAAUGAUUUUUUCAUUUCAACUUUGUUGUAUGUUGUAGACGCAAGGUCAAAAAUUUACAUCAGGUAUCUGAAUGUGUAGCAUAUACAACUGAGUGUUGAAAGAAGACAAAAUCGUUUUCAUCACGAAGAAUAUGUGCUCAGUAAGAAUCAGAAUGUUCAAUUGUGUGAAGGUGGGAGAUGGGAAGAUUGGUAUUAUGGCCUGGAUCCAGAAAUCAGUCUUCCACUAUAGGAAAUGGGAAUUUAAAGAUGAUCAGAAGACAGUUGGGAGCAGAGUGAGAAUAAGAACCCUCAACUGCUGUCUCACCUUUCAGAUCACGAAGAAGUUUUUUACAAUGAGCAGAACACUCAACCUGAAAGCAGAAUGGAUUGAGUCACUGCAGCGUGGCAGUGGAAUGGUGUUUGAUGUUGGCAAAGGAAACAUGUACUUCUAGACUGGACAGUUUUCCCUUAGUUUACAGUUUCCAAAUAGAGACAUCACUUUGAAAUAACAUGGAGAACAUACAUGGAUGUACUGAACGAAGAAUAAAGUCUGUGUUGCAGUCCUGUCUCCAUUGACUUUUACAAAUAUGGCUUUGGAUGAAUCACCUAAGUUUUAUUUUUGAGAAUUUACGCUUACCAUGUAUAAAAUGAUAUUGCUAAUAUGUUUGCUGCCUACCCCAUUGGGUUUUGUGAGG
RNAcentral lists this long non-coding RNA (765 nucleotides) under Homo sapiens (human). RNAcentral's name for it is "non-protein coding LINC00326:10". Lineage: Eukaryota; Metazoa; Chordata; Mammalia; Primates; Hominidae. The record is from RNAcentral.